Molecule: long non-coding RNA, 2081 nt
Filed under: Anneissia japonica
Lineage: Eukaryota; Metazoa; Echinodermata; Crinoidea; Comatulida; Comatulidae
Description: uncharacterized LOC117116646
Source: RNAcentral
CCUCAAGUUCACCCCCAAAUUGGGAUUGUGACCAACACUUGGAAUUUCUUUCUUGUAACUUGGUUAAACUUUCACAGAAGUCCUCACAUCCACACCCAGCUACUCCAGACCAUCACCAAAAUUUAAUCAUUUCUUUAGUGGGUUAUAGCUAACCAUAACACUCCCUGUAAUUUUCAAUUAUGUAUGUGCAGCCCUUUUUGAGAUAUGUCGUACACAGAAAAAAAACCACACGAAAAACACCAAAACGUCAAACAAAACUCGCACGACUGAAUGCAUUAUUUCCUGGUGGAGAGGAUAAACAGAAGAAAAAUUUAAUGGUUCAAAAAUGAAGAUGACAGUAGAGCAAAAUAUUGCAUUGAAGUGAAUUGUGUUCAAUGUAGUAAUGCUAACAGAAAAUUUUUUUUUCUCUUUUUGAACUUUUUUUCUUUUGUAUUUGUUCCAAGAAAAAUGCUGAGAAGGAAAAUAACGCGGCACAUGAUGCAGCAUUGGAAUCAUACAGAAACAAAAUGCAACAUGGUUUCUUAAGUAGAUUUGGUUUUGAGGAAUUGCAUUAUCAAACAAGUGCAAAUGCAGAAAAAAAGUAUGACAACACUGCCGACCAAGGCUUUCCAUCGUACCAGCAAAACAAGAUGGCGCUGGCAAGAUCAAUCCACACUAUGUACACGGAAUUCAGAUCUAGAAGAACUUUUUGGAUUUGGUUUAGAAAAAGCCUGCUUGGUUAUACUACUGAGGAAGUUGCCAUUCCUUCACACUUGCUAAAAUCCAGAGCUAGAUGAAUACCAUUGUUUUAAAUGUACAUCCACUCUGCAGCAAAUACUAAAGUAUGACUACACUAGUAUUAUACAGUUAUUCUUUAUAUAUAUUUUUAACUCUAAUUUUAACUAAGUUCACCAUGAAAAUUAUUUUACAAUGUAGUUCUGGUAGUUAAAGUUGGAUUAACUAUUUUAACAGACUGAGGUAUAGGACCAUAGUUUUAUAUAGUUAUUAAUAAAAAUUCGACACAAUAUACUUUGUUAAAAUAGUAGAGUAGAUAUUGUUUGAAAAUGGGUAUAACCCCAAAAAAUUGCAACAAAAGUUUUUUCAACAAGGAAAACCUUUAGGCCAGUUGCACAACACAGUUGUGGAUCCUUUUGCCAUUUCUACUUUUUUUGAAUUGGAUGUUUUAAUUUAUUGAUAUUUAAUAUUUGUAAUAUUGGAAUUUUGAUUGAUAUUUAUAAUUUGUAAUUUUUUCAUUUUCUUUCAUAGUAGCUGACUGAUCUUUUUAUGUUGCUUGAUAUACCAGCAGUUAUAAAUCUUAAGCUCUGAUGCUACUUCACUAUUAAGUAAUACUGUACUAGUAGGUUUGCACUUUAAUUCGAGGAUCUGACAAUGUGGUAUGGUCUUCUGGUUCGGUCUCCAGUUAGGGGGUUAGCUGUGUAUUAAAAGGUUAAUGGUAAAAAGUGUUCUGAAAUUAGCAGGGUCUGGAAUUGGAGGGGGAACUUGAUGUACAACUUUUACUUCAAAUAGAUUGCUCUAUCUUAUACUGGCAUUGAACUAGUGCCAGUUCAGUUCAGUUCAACUUCAUUUAACCAUGGAGGCCCAGAUCAACAUAAGGUUGUUCUUCCCUGUGGCCGUGCACAUAAAUACAAUACAAAAUAAAAAAGUCAAUAUGUGGCUAACACAAGCCAAACCAGUCACUCGUCGCGAAAAUUGAUUUUUGGUUGUUAAUAUAGGGCUAAACAGCAAAAUGAGAGCUAUAAAAUGGUAAAAGAAUCAUUUGAAAAGAAUCAUCAGAAUCAAUCAAAACAUCAAGAUAUUCUCAACCAACAACAAAGUUCUUUUCAGAACUAUCUAUGACCAAACCAUUACAAAAUUCAAUCUUAUUUUCAAGUUUUACCAUUUUAUAGGGGGUUUCUUUUUGGUUGGAUGUUAAUUUAUAUUUAAUGGGGCUCUGUUAUGUAAUGAAUUUUAGUUGAUUUUAAUUUGUAAUUUUUGCAUAUUUAAAUUCUUUCUACAUUUCAGUUUCGGCUGCAAUAGAUUAUUUCUAUCUUUAAUUGUAUUUUUUAUAUUUCAAAAAUAAAGAUACCAUAUUAUAUAUAUUA